This 334-nucleotide unclassified non-coding RNA is filed under the name soil metagenome. RNAcentral describes it as "partial contains 5.8S ribosomal RNA, internal transcribed spacer 2, and large subunit ribosomal RNA". The stretch from base 2 to 120 matches the Rfam family "5.8S ribosomal RNA", at positions 36 to 154 of the family's 154-position model. The record is from RNAcentral.
UAUGAAGAACGUAGCGAAAUGCGAUAAGUAGUGUGAAUUGCAGAAUUCAGUGAAUCAUCGAAUCUUUGAACGCACAUUGCGCCCUUUGGUAUUCCUUAGGGCAUGCCUGUUCGAGCGUCAUUUAAACCUUCAAGCUCAGCUUGGUGUUGGGUGACUGUCCGCUUCACCGCGGACUCGCCUCAAAAUUAUUGGCGGCCGGUACAUUGGCUCUCGAGCGCAGCAGAAACGCGUAACUCGAGGUCCUCGUGCUGGCUCCCAGAAGCUAUCUUCACAAUUUUGACCUCGGAUCAGGUAGGGAUACCCGCUGAACUUAAGCAUAUCAAUAAGCGGAGGA